AAUCGUCUUUGUAAUCUAUGGUCGUUAAACAUAGUCUAUCUGUUAUAUUUUCUUUUGUUUGAUUAUAAUUACUGUAAUGUCUUUUGGUUUUGAUUUUUUAAUCUUUAAUAUUAAAUUUUAUCUCUAUUAAAAAUACUGAAAAAAAAAAGUAUUGAACAUGGCUGAAGCCGAUUCCCAAAACGAAACCGUUGAAAUAAAAUUUAAACCAAAGAAACCCAAGAGCUUGCGUCAACGUAUAAAAGAAGAUGAGUCCGACGACGAGGAACAUAUUUUGGCGAAGUUGGAUGAAGCGAAAGAGAUCCAAAAGCUUCGAGAAAGACCUAAUGGCGUGAGUGUUGUUGCUUUAGCUACAGGUCAAAAAACUACGCUUGAAGAGGAGAUCACGUGUAAGGAUCCUUUUAAAAUUAAAGCUGGCGGUAUGGUGAAUAUGCAAGCUUUGAAAAGUGGUAAAGUAAAACAAGUUGAUGACGCCUAUGAUACUGGGAUCGGUACGCAAUUUUCUGCAGAAACAAACAAGAGAGAUGAGGAUGAAGAAAUGAUGAAAUACAUAGAGGAGCAAUUAGCGAAACGGAAAGAGGGACACAAUAACACCCAAAAGGAACUGGAUCACAAUGAUACACUAAAGUAUUUAUCACCUGAAGAAGCUGCACUACUUUCAUUACCAGAACAUUUACGAGUUUCUUCUACUCAGAGAUCAGAAGAGAUGUUGUCAAAUCAAAUGUUAAGCGGCAUCCCUGAAGUAGAUUUAGGCAUUGAUGCUAAAAUAAAAAACAUUGAGGCAACAGAAGAAGCCAAAAUGAAGUUACUUUGGGAGAGACAUAACAAAAAAGAUGGGCCAUCACAAUUUGUUCCUACAAAUAUGGCUGUCAACUUUGUGCAACAUAAUAGGUUUAAUAUAGAUAAUGAUAAUUCUAAAAAAAGGAAGAAAGAAAAACCAGAAGUUAUUAAGACUGAGACAAAUGUAAUAGAUGAUAAUGUAGAUAAAAUAGUAAAAAAGGCUAAAGGAGAAAGAGCUACAGAUGAUUACCAUUAUGAAAGAUUUAAAAAACAAUUUAGGAGAUACUAGAAUAUCAUAUUGCAUAGUUUAUAUGUAAUAAAAAUGGACUAAAACAUGCUGAAGAUUUUGCUGCCUCGUGCCAGCCAUCAUCUGUACUAUCAUCAUGUUCACACAGAUUUAUAGUCAUUAUUAUUAUCUCCAUCUUCUGGGAGGAUAUUGGAAGAAGGACAAAUGGAUGCAGGAGCCUGAAAAUGAGAAUGGUGCUGAGAAGAAAAGGGAUAAGCGCAGACAGACAUCUUUGUAUUCCACAGUCUUUCAGGAGCAGUCUGGUCAGCACAUGCAAGCUGGAGUGAAGUAUUCUCGCAGCUAUCAAUCUAGUGAAACUUUUCCCUGCUGGAACACAUGUGCGAAGUCGAACCACUGUCCGGUCACAACUGUUUGUAGACAAAGAAAUAUCACUUUUUAUUAAAUAUGUUUGUGACUUUA
Galleria mellonella (greater wax moth) is the source of this 1483-nucleotide RNA transcript. It is a transcript of the gene named telomere length and silencing protein 1 homolog, with no coding region annotated. The record is from RefSeq and is a predicted model, not a curated record. Lineage: Eukaryota; Metazoa; Arthropoda; Insecta; Lepidoptera; Pyralidae. The transcript has 6 exons.